UACGUAGGGGGCAAGCGUUGUCCGGAUUUACUGGGCGUAAAGCGCGUGUAGGCGGACGCGAAAGUCCGGUGUGAAAGCCCCCCGCUCAACGGGGGAAGGUCGCUGGAAACUGCGCUUCUUGAGGGCGGCAGAGGGAAGUGGAAUUGCUGGUGUAGCGGUGAAAUGCGUAGAGAUCAGCAGGAACACCCGUGGCGAAGGCGGCUUCCUGGGCCGCGCCUGACGCUGAGACGCGAAAGCGUGGGGAGCGAACGGG
Molecule: ribosomal RNA, 253 nt
Filed under: uncultured bacterium
Lineage: Bacteria
Description: partial 16S ribosomal RNA
Rfam family: Bacterial small subunit ribosomal RNA
Source: RNAcentral